CAAGAGAAAAGCUGUCUUUAUAUUAAAGUUUGAAUUUAACUUUUAAGUGAAAAGGCUUAAAUAUUCUAAAGGGACGAUAAGACCCUAUAAAACUUUACAUUAAUUGUUAAUAUUUUAUUUAAUUUUGUUUAUUACGAUUUAAAUUUAAUUUUUUGUUAUGUUGGGGAGACAAAAGCUAUAAUUUAUAUUAACUGCUUGAAGAAAAAUCAAUAAAAUUUAGUGACUUAUAUUUAUAGAUCCUUUAUAAAGAUUGAAAGAUUAAGUUACUUUAGGGAUAACAGCGUUAUUUUUUUUGAGAGUUCAUAU
RNAcentral lists this ribosomal RNA (306 nucleotides) under Potamonautidae sp. Crab_12b_Muranga-Gikige1. Its description in RNAcentral is "partial 16S ribosomal RNA". Lineage: Eukaryota; Metazoa; Arthropoda; Malacostraca; Decapoda; Potamonautidae. The record is from RNAcentral.